RNAcentral lists this ribosomal RNA (612 nucleotides) under Scarelus umbrosus. RNAcentral's name for it is "partial 16S ribosomal RNA". It matches the Rfam family "Bacterial large subunit ribosomal RNA", at positions 1804 to 2712 of the family's 2925-position model. The record is from RNAcentral. Lineage: Eukaryota; Metazoa; Arthropoda; Insecta; Coleoptera; Lycidae.
UUAACAAAAACAUGGUUUUUUGACUAUAAUUUAAGAUCUAAUCUGCUCAAUGAAAUAUUAAAUAGCCGCAGUAUUUUAACUGUGCGAAGGUAGCAUAAUAAUUAGCUUUUUAAUUGAAAGAUUGUAUGAAUGAUUGAACGAGAAAAUUUCUGUCUCAAUUUAAUUUAUUUUUGAAUUUUAUUUUUAAGUUAAAAAGCUUAAAUUUUUGUAAAAGACGAGAAGACCCUCUAGAGUUUUAUAUAAAAAAUUUAUUUGUUUUUAGGAGAUAAGUUUAAAUUUUUGAUUAUUUGGUUGGGGUGACUUAAAGAUUUAAAUAAUUCUUUAGUAUGAAUUGAUGAUUUUCAAAUUAAAAUUUUAUAUUUAUUAAGUUAAAAACAAAUUACCUUAGGGAUAACAGCGUAAUGUUUCUUGAGAGUUCUUAUUAAUAGAAAUUUUUGCGACCUCGAUGUUGGAUUAAAAUUAAUUUACGGUGCAGUAGCUGAAAAAUUAGGUCUGUUCGACCUUUAAAAUUUUACAUGAUCUGAGUUUAGACCGGCGUGAGCCAGGUUGGAUUCUAUCUUUAAAAAUAUUUUUUAUUUUAGUACGAAAGGACCAAAUAGAUUUUAUAUAUUA